GGGCAUGCGUGAUAUUAGGUAGUUGGCGGGGCAACGGCCCACCAAGCCCACGAUAUCUAGGGGUUCUGAGAGGAAGGUCCCCCACAUUGGUACUGAGACACGGACCAAACUCUACGGGAGGCAGCAGUGAGGAAUAUUGGUCAAUGGACGAGAGUCUGAACCAGCCAAGUCGCGUGAAGGAAGACGGAUCUAUGGUUUGUAAACUUCUUUAGUGCGGGAACAAAGCGGCGUCGUGACGCCGGAUGAGUGUACCGCAAGAAUAAGCAUCGGCUAACUCCGUGCCAGCAGCCGCGGUAAUACGAGGAUGCGAGCGUUAUCCGGAUUUAUUGGGUUUAAAGGGAGCGCAGGCUGCGAGGCAAGUCAGCGGUCAAAUGUCGGGGCUCAACCCCGGCCUGCCGUUGAAACUGUCUUGCUAGAGUUCGAGUGAGGUAUGCGGAAUGCGUUGUGUAGCGGUGAAAUGCAUAGAUAUGACGCAGAACUCCGAUUGCGAAGGCAGCAUACCAACUCGCGACUGACGCUGAGGCUCGAAAGCGUGGGUAUCGAACAGGAUUAGAUACCCUGGUAGUCCACGCAGUAAACGAUGAAUACUAACUGUUCGGAGGGCGACCUCUGAGUGGUAAAGCGAAAGCGUUAAGUAUUCCACCUGGGG
This 649-nucleotide ribosomal RNA is filed under the name uncultured bacterium. RNAcentral's name for it is "bacterial SSU rRNA". It matches the Rfam family "Bacterial small subunit ribosomal RNA", at positions 227 to 878 of the family's 1533-position model. The record is from RNAcentral.